CCCAGGUGUCAAUCCACGGGAGCAGUAUUCAUCAGCCUACGAUGUUCUUGAGGAUCAUGGGCUUCCCAUGGGCCUACUCCCUAAGGGCGUUAAGGAUUUCAGAAUCGAAGAUACGGGCCAUUUCGUGGUCCACUUGGAUCAGGCUUGCAACGCCAAGUUCGAGAGCGAAUUGCAUUACGAUAGGAAUGUUUCUGGGACUCUGAGCUACGGCCAGAUCGGGGCUUUGUCUGGAAUUUCUGCUCAAGAGUUGUUUUUGUGGUUUCCGGUCAAGGGAAUUCGGGUAGAUGUGCCCAGUUCGGGCCUUAUUUAUUUCGAUGUUGGUGUAGUGUCUAAGCAGUUCUCGCUUUCCUUGUUUGAGACACCGAGGGAUUGUUUGGCGGUUCAAGAUGGGCAAACGGAGGCUAUUGAGACAGGAAGGCUCAUUGCCGAGGCUGUGUCCAAGAGCCAACUUGGGGGGUUAAGAUAUCAACUCGAUCAAGAGAAUUUUGGGAGGGGUGUUCUGUAGAAUGCGUUGAGAAAGUUUCUUAAGACGGGUCAUAGUUCAAUCAACUCAUGGUUUCUCAUUUUCACCUUGUAAAUAUCAUCAGAGAUUCUGCUUUAACGGGUCCAAUGCUUCCAGUCAGUGUGUUUGCUUGUGUUCUUUUUUCCCUAUAAAGUGCAGAAUAUGCAACUUAGCAGAGCCGGUUCUUGUCUGUGCAUGGAUGCCCGAUGGACCUCUUUGAGAGGGAAACUUAAUGAAGUAGCAGCAUGAUCAUCAAAGGCUUCCUGCCUGCAGAACUUAAAGUUUUGGCUGAGGUGAUUUCAGGUG
Molecule: unclassified non-coding RNA, 808 nt
Filed under: Hevea brasiliensis (rubber tree)
Lineage: Eukaryota; Viridiplantae; Streptophyta; Magnoliopsida; Malpighiales; Euphorbiaceae
Source: RNAcentral